This 500-nucleotide ribosomal RNA is filed under the name uncultured Sphingobacteriales bacterium. Its description in RNAcentral is "bacterial SSU rRNA". It matches the Rfam family "Bacterial small subunit ribosomal RNA", at positions 903 to 1382 of the family's 1533-position model. Lineage: Bacteria; Pseudomonadati; Bacteroidota; Sphingobacteriia; Sphingobacteriales. The record is from RNAcentral.
CGCCUUGCCAGCCCGCUCAGAACUUAACGGAAUUCGACGGGGCCCGCACAAGCGUGGAGCAUGUGGUUAAUUCGAUGAUACGCGAGGAACCUUACCUGGGCUCAAAUGUAUGUUGACGUAUUCUGAAAGGGAUACUUCUUCGGACAAUAUACAAGGUGCUGCAUGGUUGUCGUCAGCUCGUGCCGUGAGGUGUCGGGUUAAGUCCCAUAACGAGCGCAACCCCUAUCAUUAGUUGCCAUCAGGUCAAGCUGGGGACUCUAAAGGAACUGCCUACGCAAGUAGUGAGGAAGGCGGGGAUGACGUCAAAUCAGCACGGCCCUUACGUCCAGGGCUACACACGUGCUACAAUGGCCGAUACAGAGGGCAGCUACCUGGUGACAGGAUGCAAAUCUCCAAAGUCGGUCUCAGUUCGGAUCGGAGUCUGCAACCCGACUCCGUGAAGUUGGAUUCGCUAGUAAUCGUGAAAUCAGAAUGUCACGGUGAAUACGUUCCCGGGCCUU